This 3010-nucleotide long non-coding RNA is filed under the name Homo sapiens (human). RNAcentral describes it as "HSALNT0101215". The record is from RNAcentral. Lineage: Eukaryota; Metazoa; Chordata; Mammalia; Primates; Hominidae.
GUACUUUUUGUGUGGUGUGGAAGUGUUUGUUUUUUGCAAUAGAUUUUUGUUGCAGUUUAGGUUUGUAUUUUCUUUGUUUUGUAGUGCUUAUUAUGAAGGUUCGUAGGUUUAUGUCUGUAGGCCAGGCAGGUCAUUAAACUUAACAAAGAAUAAGUAAGUCGGGAGAGGGGAAUAGAAAUCUCCACAUACAUAUUCUUAAAAGCUGUAACACUCACCACAAAGAUCUGCUGAGUGAAGUCUGUGAGACGAACGCACCAAGUCUGGACGCUCUGUCAGGCUACAUUUUACGUUUUUGGGAGUGAGCAGGUGUUAUUCUGUUCCCCGGGUUGGUUUUGAAGUCAUGGCUCUCAAGUAAUUUUUGUGCUUCUCAAAAGUGCUGGAAUUGCAAAGAGUUCAAACAUUGAAUUAGUUGUGCAAUGGAAGGAGUAUUACCAGGACCCAGAUGCAGCCCAAGGAAAAAAGAAAACAAAAGGAGACACACACAGACACCAGAGCAUGAUGCAAGUGUGGCUUAAUCGGUGCUUGCACAUUGGGCUUGUUCUUUCCAAACCUGUUGCCCCGAUUCUGCAAGGCUAUCCUGCUGUAGAAGGAGGCCCUGGAGGACAAGACACCAUGUGGGGAAAACAGCCAUGGGGAGCAGAACCGAGGUAUCCCAGCUUAGCUCCCAACUGACAGCAGCCACAUGAGUGAGCAGAAAAACAACUUCCAAGGGUGAUUUAGCUACUGCUGCUGUGGAAUGUCAAAACUUUCAGCAAGGGAGCCCGAUGCAGAUCUGUUGAUAUGACACCAUUCCACAAGAAGACCAACUGAUGGCUUUGUGGCAAGUUGACUACACUGGGCUGUUUCUAUUCUGGGAAGACAGAGAUUUGUUCUAAGAGGAAUAGGCAUGUGUUGCAGGCAUAGGUUGACCUUUCCUGCCAUGGAGCCUCCUCUGGUACCACUAUUUGAAGGUUGAAGGAAUGUUGAUUCACCAGGAUUGAGUCAGACCAGCCAAGCCUAUGACCAUGAUGUCAACUGACUGUAUCACCUGUCACAUCAUCCAGAAGCUACAGACUUAUAAGGCAUUGGAAUAACUUGUAGAUGGCCCCGUUAAAGUACCAGCUUAGAGGCAACACUCCAUGAGAAUGAGACAUCAUCUCCAGGAUGGCACAUACACAUUGAAUCACACAGCAUUGAUAAGGAGAUGGCUCCCCAGUAGGAAGAAUAUAUUGGUCAUGAACCAAGGGAUGAAGCAGAAGUGUCUUGCUUCCUGUCCCUGCAGCCUCUCUUUCUGCAGUGCUAGAAAUCCUGGUCAAAAGGGGGCAUAAUUUUAUCAGGGGACACAGCAAAAGUCUCCACUACAUUGCAGCUAUGCCUGCUGCCUGGGGAUUUUGGGCUUCUUAUAAUUGGGACCAGCAAUAAAAGAGAAGAGUCACAGUCUUGGCAGGGCUAAUUGACCCUGAUCAGCAGGAGAAGAAAGGCUGUGGUUCCACUAUGAGGGUAGGGAAGACGUGUGGCACCACUGAUCCACUUUUGCAACCCAUGGUACUCCCGUGGCCAGUUGUGAUGACAGACAAGUGCAGGAACACUUUUGGGAAGGGCAUGGUGGCCAGAGUUCAGACCCCAUGGGAAUGAGGACCAGGGUCACACCACUGGAUAAGCCAGGAGGAAGAGAGGCCCACUGGAAGGCUGGAGGAGCUGCUCCCCAGAUGUAGAUGAAGUAGAUUUGAGCAGCACAGUGGUGGACCUAGUAGAGGCGGACAUCAAGAUCCUCUUCAAGGAAAGAUUAUCAAUAUAGUUUUCCCUGACCCAGGCAACCGUUGAAUCCAAGUUUUGCCCACUGAAUCCAUCAAAUUGUUACAGCCAAUUCUAGAUGCCUGAGUGGACACAUGAAAUCCAGAUUCCCCAGUAAGCGCAUCCCCAUUAAUAAACUGACCAAAUGCAAUGUUAAUCUGUUCUAUAACCUUUAGAAUCCAUCCCAACAUAUAUUUUUUAGGUUCCUGCCAAGAUAUGUUAGCAAAAGCUUGCAAUUUUUUGAAAAAUGAAUUAUCUCUUCCUGGGACAUGUGUUGUACUUUUCUCUCUGAAAUAGGCUGAGCUCUGACUCCAUUAAAAGUCUGAAAGCAAUGAAGAGUGAAGGAGCGGAUAUUGGGGAGAAUAGGCAUCCUCUUGCAAGAUAACUGCCUCAAAGUCAUUAUAAGGUUUUCAAGCAAGAGAAAGCUAAUUUCCUUACACAUAUGAAGAAGCGUUGCUUCUCCUGGCAAGAAAUACACAGUGAAUCAGGGAUUCAAAAUUCUUAGCUUUAUCUAAGUUUACCCAGAUGUGUCUAUCCUUCCCAAUCAGUGCUCUUGGCAGGAGACUUGGCAAGUCUGCGAAGUCAACUUAUGUUAUAAUUCUGCAACCCACACAAGUUCUUAUUUUCAAUGAGGGUAACCUUGCAGCCACACAAAAUAGCAAAAUUUUUUAAGGAGUACCAUAGACACACUCUGGUUCUCUGUGUUCAGUGUUUUAAGCCUAUCUUUUUGUUCCCCUGUAAGCUCUUCAAUGUAGUCCAAAAUACACCAUCUGUGGUAGGCAGAAUUCUAAGAAGGUUCCAAAGAUUCUCACCCAUGGUGUAGAGAACUUGUAUAAUUUUCUCCCCUAAAGUGUAGGUGGAGCCCGUGAAUAGGAUGGGAUAUUAAUACCAUGAUUGUGUUAUAUUUUGAGACAAAAAAAAUUUUGUAGAUGUAAUUAAAGGUACUAAUCAGUUGACUAUGAGUUUAUCAAAAGGGAGAUCAUCCAGGUGGGCCUGACCUAAUCAUAUCAGCCCUCUAAAUCCUGGUCUAUGGGUCAGAGAAAGAGGAAGGCAGAGAUUUAAAGCAUGAGAGAAAUUCAAAGCAAACUAGAUUCUCCAUUGCUGUCUUUGAAGACAGGCAGCCAUGUGGCAAGGAAUGUGGGUAGCCGAUAGUGGCCGAUGACAGCUCCCAGCCCACACUUCAAGUUUAGCCUCGUAGGGCCCUGAGCAGGGGACACAACUAUACUGCAUUUACAAC